AACGCUGGCGGCAGGCUUAACACAUGCAAGUCGAGCGGGCGUAGCAAUACGUCAGCGGCAGACGGGUGAGUAACGCGUGGGAACAUACCUUUUGGUUCGGAACAACACAGGGAAACUUGUGCUAAUACCGGAUAAGCCCUUACGGGGAAAGAUUUAUCGCCGAAAGAUUGGCCCGCGUCUGAUUAGCUAGUUGGUGAGGUAAUGGCUCACCAAGGCGACGAUCAGUAGCUGGUCUGAGAGGAUGAUCAGCCACAUUGGGACUGAGACACGGCCCAAACUCCUACGGGAGGCAGCAGUGGGGAAUAUUGGACAAUGGGGGCAACCCUGAUCCAGCCAUGCCGCGUGAGUGAUGAAGGCCCUAGGGUUGUAAAGCUCUUUUGUGCGGGAAGAUAAUGACGGUACCGCAAGAAUAAGCCCCGGCUAACUUCGUGCCAGCAGCCGCGGUAAUACGAAGGGGGCUAGCGUUGCUCGGAAUCACUGGGCGUAAAGGGUGCGUAGGCGGGUCUUUAAGUCAGGGGUGAAAUCCUGGAGCUCAACUCCAGAACUGCCUUUGAUACUGAAGAUCUUGAGUUCGGGAGAGGNGAGUGGAACUGCGAGUGNAGAGGUGAAAUUCGUAGAUAUUCGCAAGAACACCAGUGGCGAAGGCGGCUCACUGGCCCGAUACUGACGCUGA
This 673-nucleotide ribosomal RNA is filed under the name Bradyrhizobium sp. D230a. RNAcentral describes it as "bacterial SSU rRNA". It matches the Rfam family "Bacterial small subunit ribosomal RNA", at positions 32 to 749 of the family's 1533-position model. Lineage: Bacteria; Pseudomonadati; Pseudomonadota; Alphaproteobacteria; Hyphomicrobiales; Nitrobacteraceae. The record is from RNAcentral.